UUUCCGUAGGUGAACCUGCGGAAGGAUCAUUAAUGAGAUCAUGCCCUUCGGGGUAGACCUCCCACCCUCUGUAUACAAUACCUUUGUUGCUUUGGCGGCCCCGUCGCAAGACAACCGGCUCCGGCUGGUCAGCGGCCGCCAGAGGAAUCAAAACUCUUAUUAUUAUUGUCGUCUGAGUACUAUAUAAUAGUUAAAACUUUCAACAACGGAUCUCUUGGUUCUGGCAUCGAUGAAGAACGCAGC
RNAcentral lists this unclassified non-coding RNA (243 nucleotides) under uncultured fungus. RNAcentral describes it as "sequence contains ITS1, 5.8S rRNA gene". The stretch from base 195 to 243 matches the Rfam family "5.8S ribosomal RNA", at positions 1 to 49 of the family's 154-position model. The record is from RNAcentral. Lineage: Eukaryota; Fungi.